Molecule: small nuclear RNA, 132 nt
Filed under: Otolemur garnettii (small-eared galago)
Lineage: Eukaryota; Metazoa; Chordata; Mammalia; Primates; Galagidae
Description: U11 spliceosomal RNA (ENSOGAG00000022452.1)
Rfam family: U11 spliceosomal RNA
Source: Rfam by way of RNAcentral
AAAUAGCCAGGCUUCUGUUGUGAGUGGCACACGUGGGGCAACUCGACUGCUCUUCGAGCGGAAUCAAUAUCAAGAGAGGAAACACAAUUUUUGGUACCUGGGAAGCUGGUGAUUAUUGGUCCGGGUGCCUGC